Long non-coding RNA from Solanum lycopersicum (tomato), 2361 nucleotides. RefSeq annotates it as SNF1-related protein kinase regulatory subunit beta-3. The record is from RefSeq and is a predicted model, not a curated record. NCBI's taxonomy places the organism in Eukaryota, Viridiplantae, Streptophyta, Magnoliopsida, Solanales, Solanaceae.
CCAUGAAAUCUUGAAUUUACAUAUUUAAUAUUUAUGGAGUAGAUGGAGCAACAACUACAUUAGUGUAAAGUUAUGAGAAAGAAAUAUGUGAGCUUUCAAUGAGGUUUCUUAUGUCCUUUUUAGAGAACAAAUGGUUAAUUCAAUCAAUUACUACCCUUUAAUCCUUCGUUAGUUGGGGUUUGCUAUAUAAAUCCUAAUGUAUUUCUGUUCAUUCUGGUUGAUAUAGGGAGCAUUUCUCUCCACGUGCCAGUCCAUUAGAUUAAAUGUUUCUAGAGGAUAUAUUAAAGUUCAUACAGAGGAAAGUAGAAUCAUUACCAAAAUAUUUAUUAUAUCAAGUGCCAACAAUUUCGUUCUACGAAAAUAUUUGGCCAGUUGAUCGAAGUGCAUAGUUUCCAUGUGUUUCUAAAUUUCUCAUAUUCUAGGAACUUAGCUUGAUUUCCAUCAAACCAAGUGAUGCGGUUAGAAAAGAGAAGUAGGACCCCUAGUGACUAAAGCUUUGAUUUUAGUUUUGGUGUGAUCCUUGAAAGUAGCUAAAAUUAGGUAAUCAAUAUGAAUUUCCUUAAAUGGACCCUUCUUUCUUAAUUAUCUUCUUAGGAGUUGGAAAUGUCAUUAAGAUCUAAAGAUAGAUGGCAAAGAAUAUUUUAUUUUGAAAGCAACAGUAUUGUUGCCUCUAAUAGUUGUAGGACGGACUCAUAGAUCUUGGAACAUAUAUGACGGCAAGGCCUAAGCAUUAAACUAUGUGUAAUGUGAAUCCCCCCUUUUUACCGUACAAUGUAUUCUCACCCCGUCAACCUCCUCAAUCCUCCUCCUUUAUGGGGGACUUGGGCCAACUGUUCAAGGCUCAGGUAGGUGAAGUUGAUUCUCUUGUUGAGGAUUUGGAUCUUGCAUUUAAUUCUAGAUCAUCAUUUUCAUCAGAGGUUAGGUUAAAUCAGAUUCUAAUUCAAAUAAAGCUCUUUGUUCACAUAAUCUUUCUGGACUUCUUAAAGCUGGGGUGAAGUUGCUACCCACUAUUAUGUAUAUUCUAGUUUGCUUGGUGUUAGACUAUCAUUUGCUUAAAAGACUUCUGGAAUGAGAACAUGUAUCCUAAAUAGCAGUUAGGCCAAAAAUGUCUGUAAUCGAAAGAUAAAAUUUAUUUUAAUGGUAAAAGUGGAAAGGAGAACAGAAAAAAUAUAACAGUACAUAGUUGUUACUGGAAUUGUCUGGAUUUGAACGUUGUUUGCAUGCUUCCGGACGCUUCCAAAACCAGUUGUCAAUAUUGGUAAUAUGUGUCUAAUGAGCGGUGGCCUCUGAGACGUGUACGCAUAUUACUCUGCAUGAAUAGAGUGCAUCAGUAGUUACUAGAAUAUAAAUAUGGGUGCAUUGCCUGCAUAUUAUCUAUCUUCCAAGGUAUAGUGAGUGAGGAAACAACUUCGUGGUCAUUUAGAGGGGAGUCUGAGAUUUUCGGGAGAUCAAAGAUUUCAAGAUGUUUGUUUCGUGGAGCUUGAGCCAGCAUUCAUCAGUAGUCUCAUAAAUACGCAGAGAAACAAGGAGGCAGCUAAGGUCUGGCUAGGUGAAGUAGUAAAGUUAACUUGGGAAAGUUUUAUCUGCUGAAAACUUUCAUCUUAUUAGCUAGACUGUGCUGUUUGUUUUUGAAGCAACAUGAACCACCCUCAUCCAUAUGGUGAAGAUCAUUUAUACACACAGGAUGAACCCACUGUCAUGGGCUUUGAAGUUCCAAGAUCACCCGAUGCAAGUUACAACAAUGUGUAUCCUGGGCAUAUAGAUGAAGGGAGGGAACCACCGAUGGUACCGCCACAUUUGCAUCACACCUUGCUAAACCACCCAGCUACAGGAGAUGAAUCAACCUCCCUCCCAUUGCCACAGAACGCUGUGCUAAACCAUCUGUAUAUUGAGAACGGAGAAGUCCCGAGGUCAGUUGUAGCACUUGGUGUAACACACCGUUUUCGCUCAAAAUAUGUAACGGUCGUGCUUUACAAACCCGUCCAAAGAAAAUGAGGUAGCAUACCAACCAUGCCUGAACGUACGCACCGUCUUUGGCUUGUGGUCUGACGAUAGCAGAGGUAAAUACACAGUAAGUUCUGCAGUGGAGAAUGUUUAUUUCUUCCCAGCUACUAGUAGUAGGAAAAUGUGGUAGCAGGUACCCUUGGACUUGAAUAAUUGAAGUUAGAUGUUCAAUAGUUUUAAAAAGUUUACAUGUAUUAUGGCAAAAAGUUAGUGAUGUCCCUGUUAGUAAUGUUUAUUUCUUCCCAGCUACUAGUAGUAGGAAAAUGUGGUAGCAGAUACCCUUGGACUUGAAUAAUUGAAGUUAGAUGUUCAAUAGUUUUAAAAAGUUUUGGCAAAAAGUUAGUGAUGUCCCUGUUA